CACUCCUGCGGGAGGCAGCAGUGGGGAAUUUUGGACAAUGGGCGAAAGCCUGAUCCAGCCAUGCCGCGUGCAGGAUGAAGGCCUUCGGGUUGUAAACUGCUUUUGUACGGAACGAAACGGCCUUUUCUAAUAAAGAGGGCUAAUGACGGUACCGUAAGAAUAAGCACCGGCUAACUACGUGCCAGCAGCCGCGGUAAUACGUAGGGUGCAAGCGUUAAUCGGAAUUACUGGGCGUAAAGCGUGCGCAGGCGGUUAUGUAAGACAGUUGUGAAAUCCCCGGGCUCAACCUGGGAACUGCAUCUGUGACUGCAUAGCUAGAGUACGGUAGAGGGGGAUGGAAUUCCGCGUGUAGCAGUGAAAUGCGUAGAUAUGCGGAGGAACACCGAUGGCGAAGGCAAUCCCCUGGACCUGUACUGACGCUCAUGCACGAAAGCGUGGGGAGCAAACAGGAUUAGAUACCCCGGUAGUCCCAUG
Molecule: ribosomal RNA, 474 nt
Filed under: uncultured organism
Description: partial 16S ribosomal RNA
Rfam family: Bacterial small subunit ribosomal RNA
Source: RNAcentral